This 464-nucleotide ribosomal RNA is filed under the name uncultured bacterium. RNAcentral describes it as "partial 16S ribosomal RNA". It matches the Rfam family "Bacterial small subunit ribosomal RNA", at positions 339 to 795 of the family's 1533-position model. The record is from RNAcentral.
CUACGGGAGGCAGCAGUAGGGAAUUUUCGGCAAUGGGCGAAAGCCUGACCGAGCAAUGCCGCGUGAACGAUGAAGGCCUUCGGGUUGUAAAGUUCUGUUAUCAGGGAAGAACAUACGGAUUAGGAAAUGACUCCGUACUGACGGUACCUGAUCAGAAAGCUCCGGCUAACUACGUGCCAGCAGCCGCGGUAAUACGUAGGGAGCAAGCGUUAUCCGGAAUUAUUGGGCGUAAAGCGUGCGUAGGCGGUUCGUUAAGUCAAAUCUGAAAGCCCACAGCUUAACUGUGGAGGGCGAUUUGAAACUGGCGAACUUGAGUACGGCAGAGGUUAGUGGAAUUCAAUGUGUAGCGGUGGAAUGCGUAGAUAUAUUGAGGAACACCAGUGGCGAAGGCGGCUAACUGGACCGGAACUGACGCUGAGGCACGAAAGCGUGGGGAGCAAACAGGAUUAGAUACCCGGGUAGUC